AGCCCUUAAAACUGCAACAACCAGAGGAGCAGCGACGAUCAGGCCUCCAUCUAAAGUGUCUGAAAAUAACAUGAACAAAAUCCAAAUGAGUUCACACUACUUGAUGUUUCACAAGUGUUAGCAACAACCAAAAGAAAAAUUGGCCCAAAACUUGACUAAACGUCUAGAAAGAAGCAUUUCAUCCACAUCUGAAACUUAAGAAAGAUCUCUGACCAAGGCCAAUAGCUUCUGAUCCUUUCCUUAUAAAAAACAAUAGGUGUUUUUUAGACAUAUAAGUGUUGGUUGCUUCUAAGUAAUAUGCGCCUUUUUUAAGAUGCGCACUCAAAUGUGUUAGACAAUGCUUAUUGGUUAUCAAGGUAGAGCAAUGUUGGCUGAUCAUGAACCAACCAGGGAUAGCUAGAAAAGAUGAUAAGAUCAUGAGCUAGCUGUGUGUACAUAUGAGAGAGAUGGUACCUUCAUGAUCUAGUCGAGCGACCUUGCCUCUCCUGAGAUUAUUGGUGAGGAUCAAAAGUAAGAAAUAUAUCCAUCAGUAAAAGGCCCAAACGGCUUCCUCCUAUGCAGUAUUACACCAUUAUUAUUAUUUGUGGGAAAGGUCUAGAGUUAUGGUAAAUAUCUCAUGUCUUCUAUUCUCAUGUAAAUAAGAAUUAUUGUGACCUUGAACCUUAGGCAUAUUGAUAACUCAACUCUUGCUUUUCUGCUUCAGAAUAUAUAUAAAGUUGUAUGCCUUUAUUUGUUAAAAUAAAAUCAAACUGAUUAUUUAUUGAUCAUUAACUAAUACCUCACUUAGAGAUACUACGUAUUGUUGCCAAAGUCUUAUUUUAAAUACAACCAAGAUGAACAGAAAUAAAUCUCAACUUACUUUUGGUGGAAACACACUUGUCUAAUUGAUCAUUCCUUGAGACAGUGAUCUGCUCAACAUAUCGCAAGUCGAUAUGCAACCACAUAAGUCAAGCAUCAGCAUCAAAACAACACGAGGAAUGAAAUGUUUGAUAUCUCAAACAGAGAGCAAUCAGUACUAUAGAUCUGUCGCUAACCAGCCUUCUGAUGCAUGCAUAUUUGUAUAACAUUGUCUGCACCAUUUAUGCUUUUCACGAUCCCUCAUUGCUGCAACACAUAUGCUGCUAAGCCAGAUCCAACUAAAUAAAUAAUACAUGUAUCUGUUUGAACU
RNAcentral lists this long non-coding RNA (1168 nucleotides) under Triticum aestivum (bread wheat). RNAcentral's name for it is "long non-coding RNA (TAES_LNC001228)". The record is from RNAcentral. Lineage: Eukaryota; Viridiplantae; Streptophyta; Magnoliopsida; Poales; Poaceae.